AGAGUUUGAUCAUGGCUCAGAUUGAACGCUGGCGGCAUGCCUUACACAUGCAAGUCGGACGGCAGCACGGGGGCAACCCUGGUGGCGAGUGGCGAACGGGUGAGUAAUACAUCGGAACGUGUCCUGGAGUGGGGGAUAGCCCGGCGAAAGCCGGAUUAAUACCGCAUACGCUCUAUGGAGGAAAGCGGGGGACUUUCGGG
This 200-nucleotide ribosomal RNA is filed under the name uncultured bacterium. Its description in RNAcentral is "partial 16S ribosomal RNA". It matches the Rfam family "Bacterial small subunit ribosomal RNA", at positions 8 to 217 of the family's 1533-position model. The record is from RNAcentral.